This is a long non-coding RNA of Amphiprion ocellaris (clown anemonefish), 1746 nucleotides long. The record is from Ensembl. NCBI's taxonomy places the organism in Eukaryota, Metazoa, Chordata, Actinopteri, Pomacentridae.
UGAAUAACUGCAGUCUAAUGCAACAGCUGGAGUUGUAACAUCUGUCCUGAUAUUGAUCAUGAAGUAUUGAUCAGAAUACUUAUGGUUAGCAGUCAUCCCUGAAGUUUUACAUUAAAAUCUUUACUUGUGUUGUGAACUUUGGUAAGAAGCAGAAACGUUAGCGUUGCCAUGGAUACAUGAGUGUUAAAUUCUGUCCAUGUUUCCAUUUUGGGAAAUGCAGUCCAGUUCCAGAAUGUGGAGGAAUUUAGUCUCACAAUCACAGACAACAAAUAUUAUCUGAAAGUCAGGUUAUUGUUGUUUAUCAGCACAAUACAAAAAGAUUAAUGUUAGAAAUAUUCCAGUUCAGACUCUAGAAUAUGAUGAUUUAUGUAAAUUUACCUCAAUAAUAUGAAUGUUCAGGUUAAGAUUGUACAGUGAUAUUUAUUAUGCAAGUUUAGCUGAUUAAAGUUUAUGACUCUGCACUAAAAUAUUAUUUAAAUUGGCAUCAUUAUUAUAAUAUUUAGGGUCAGACCCUACAGUAUUGAGAUUAAGAAAUCAAAUAUUCUAUAAAAUGUAAAUACACUGAACUCAUUUGGAUAUAUUUGAGACUCUACAAUAUUAUUUGACACAAAUCUAAAUCAAAAUUUUAAUAAUUUUCACGCCAAACAUUUACUGGACUGAUUUAAAUAUUAAAAUCACUCCUUUCCAAUCCUCUGCUGUACGUUCAAACCUGAGGCCUUAAAUAGAAACACACAAGUAUCUGAUUGAAGGAACUUCUGCAGAGUCCUGGUUCCAGAACAUGAUGAUAGAAUUAUAGACAAACUUUAACAAAAGCUGCCUGAGAGUUUACAGGUUUUUAUGUUGGAUUUCUUCAGUAAUUUAAAGAGAGUUAUCAGCAAAAAUCAAGUGUUCAUUUGAUGAACUUCAUUUCCUAAAACAUCCAGACUUGGAGCUCAUAUCUUUGGCAGCUGUAAAGUUUCUGCUCCUUCAAAGUUGACAACACAAUGAAUGAAUUCCUAAAACACUCUCAAUGCUGGAGAGCAUUUGAUGCUGAAGCAGUGACCAGUUUUUCUGUUUCUUCUCUGGAGAUGCACAAUGAGGGACGUCUGCAGAGACUGAGAAAGAGUCUCACCACAUCCUGACAUGAGGAAAAAGACUUUAUUGAAGACUACAAUGAGAAAAACUAUCAGACAGCAGACGGCUGCAUUCAAGAGAAGAAGACCAUCAAACAUCCACGUCAGCUGAUGGAGGUCCAAGAGUCUCACUGAACAACCAACCUACAGAGUGAAGACCUCAAAUCUGAUUGGACGGCCUCCUAUUCAGCCACAUUUUAGGCUGUUAGAUUGUUCCAGAUAAGACAAGUACAAGAUUCUUCAGAGCCGUUCUACCACGAGCCUGACAGGAAGAACUCCAACAGCUACUGAAUGUUCCUGUGGUUCCCUCAAGGCUACAGGAGGAGUCCUACGAGGACGAGCCGGUCCACCUGAUGGCGGCCAGUCGCUGCGGUUCAAAGCCAACACCGACUACGUGGACUUCUACUGGACCACAUGGAGGCCUUCAAACCGGACCAACAAGUUCAGCGACUCCCCGACUCGUGGGUCUGAGGACACCGCCGAGCCUCGGUCCAGCCGGCCUCCUGUCUGUGGGUGUUUGAGUGCUGAGAGGUUUGUGGAUGCACGUGAACGUUCUGUGUUGAAACAGCAGCUUUGGACUCAGUAACGCCAGGAAAAACCAAGAGCUCCUUUAUUUGUGACUUCCACUAAAAAA